RNAcentral lists this ribosomal RNA (379 nucleotides) under uncultured bacterium. RNAcentral's name for it is "bacterial SSU rRNA". It matches the Rfam family "Bacterial small subunit ribosomal RNA", at positions 355 to 726 of the family's 1533-position model. The record is from RNAcentral.
UGGGGAAUAUUGCACAAUGGGCGCAAGCCUGAUGCAGCCAUGCCGCGUGUGUGAAGAAGGCCUUCGGGUUGUAAAGCACUUUCAGUCGUGAGGAAGGUAGUGUAGUUAAUAGCUGCAUUAUUUGACGUUAGCGACAGAAGAAGCACCGGCUAACUCCGUGCCAGCAGCCGCGGUAAUACGGAGGGUGCGAGCGUUAAUCGGAAUUACUGGGCGUAAAGCGCAUGCAGGUGGUUUGUUAAGUCAGAUGUGAAAKCCCGGGGCUCAACCUCGGAAUUGCAUUUGAAACUGGCAGACUAGAGUACUGUAGAGGGGGGUAGAAUUUCAGGUGUAGCGGUGAAAUGCGUAGAGAUCUGAAGGAAUACCGGUGGCGAAGGCGGCC